AGUGAACGCUGGCGGUAGGCCUAACACAUGCAAGUCGAACGGCAGCACAGUAAGAGCUUGCUCUUACGGGUGGCGAGUGGCGGACGGGUGAGGAAUACAUCGGAAUCUACUUUUUCGUGGGGGAUAACGUAGGGAAACUUACGCUAAUACCGCAUACGACCUACGGGUGAAAGCAGGGGAUCUUCGGACCUUGCGCGAUUGAAUGAGCCGAUGUCGGAUUAGCUAGUUGGCGGGGUAAAGGCCCACCAAGGCGACGAUCCGUAGCUGGUCUGAGAGGAUGGUCAGCCACACUGGAACUGAGACAGGGUCCAGACUCCUACGGGAGGCAGCAGUGGGGAAUAUUGGACAAUGGGGGAAAGCCUGAUCCAGCCAUACCGCGUGGGUGAAGAAGGCCUUCGGGUUGUAAAGCCCUUUUGUUGGGAAAGAAAAGCAGCAGGUUAAUACCCCGCUGUUCUGACGGUACCCAAAGAAUAAGCACCGGCUAACUUCGUG
This 492-nucleotide ribosomal RNA is filed under the name uncultured bacterium. RNAcentral describes it as "partial 16S ribosomal RNA". It matches the Rfam family "Bacterial small subunit ribosomal RNA", at positions 29 to 507 of the family's 1533-position model. The record is from RNAcentral.